RNAcentral lists this ribosomal RNA (483 nucleotides) under uncultured bacterium. Its description in RNAcentral is "partial 16S ribosomal RNA". It matches the Rfam family "Bacterial small subunit ribosomal RNA", at positions 30 to 508 of the family's 1533-position model. The record is from RNAcentral.
AUUGAACGCUGGCGGCAUGCCUUACACAUGCAAGUCGAACGGUAACGGGCCUUCGGGUGCCGACGAGUGGCGAACGGGUGAGUAAUACAUCGGAACGUGCCCGAUCGUGGGGGAUAACGAGGCGAAAGCUUUGCUAAUACCGCAUACGAUCUACGGAUGAAAGCAGGGGACCGCAAGGCCUUGCGCGGACGGAGCGGCCGAUGGCAGAUUAGGUAGUUGGUGGGAUAAAAGCUUACCAAGCCGACGAUCUGUAGCUGGUCUGAGAGGAUGAUCAGCCACACUGGGACUGAGACACGGCCCAGACUCCUACGGGAGGCAGCAGUGGGGAAUUUUGGACAAUGGGCGCAAGCCUGAUCCAGCCAUGCCGCGUGCAGGAUGAAGGCCUUCGGGUUGUAAACUGCUUUUGUACGGAACGAAAAGCCUUCUUUUAAUACAGGAGGGUCAUGACGGUACCGUAAGAAUAAGCACCGGCUAACUACGUGC